AUGGGAAAGUCUAGGUUAGCAGAAGACUAUGCUUGUGCCACAAACUUGUUUCGAGAAAGAUAUCGUCCGAUUCUCCUUCUAUUGAUUCUUUUCCGAUCGAGAUGUACGGAUCCAUGUGUCUACAUGCAUAGAUUCUGUUCAUGGAUUAACGAAAAUGUGCAAGAGCUCUAUUUGCCUCUGCCAUUCUAUGAGUCGCUUCCUUUUUGCGUAUGGCACCCCCACUCCCUUUGGCAGCAUCUACUAAUUCGGACCUUAAUUUGA
RNAcentral lists this ribosomal RNA (261 nucleotides) under Triticum aestivum (bread wheat). RNAcentral's name for it is "partial small subunit ribosomal RNA". Lineage: Eukaryota; Viridiplantae; Streptophyta; Magnoliopsida; Poales; Poaceae. The record is from RNAcentral.